RNAcentral lists this ribosomal RNA (255 nucleotides) under uncultured bacterium. Its description in RNAcentral is "partial 16S ribosomal RNA". It matches the Rfam family "Bacterial small subunit ribosomal RNA", at positions 524 to 776 of the family's 1533-position model. The record is from RNAcentral.
UACGGGGGGGAGCAAGCGUUGUUCGGAUUUACUGGGCGUAAAGGGCGCGUAGGCGGUCAGCACAAGUCAGUUGUGAAAUCUCCGAGCUUAACUCGGAACGGUCAACUGAUACUGUGCGACUAGAGUGCGGAAGGGGCAACUGGAAUUCUCGGUGUAGCGGUGAAAUGCGUAGAUAUCGAGAGGAACACCUGCGGCGAAGGCGGGUUGCUGGGCCGACACUGACGCUGAUGCGCGAAAGCCAGGGGAGCGAACGGG